This 253-nucleotide ribosomal RNA is filed under the name uncultured bacterium. RNAcentral describes it as "partial 16S ribosomal RNA". It matches the Rfam family "Bacterial small subunit ribosomal RNA", at positions 524 to 776 of the family's 1533-position model. The record is from RNAcentral.
UACGGGGGGAGCAAGCGUUGUCCGGAUUUACUGGGCGUAAAGGGCGUGCAGGCGGUUUGUUAAGUGCAGAGUGAAAGCUCCCGGCUCAACUGGGAGAGGUCUUUGCAUACUGGCAAACUCGAGGGAGGCAGAGGAAAGUGGAAUUCCCGGUGUAGUGGUGAUAUGCGUAGAUAUCGGGAGGAACACCUGUGGCGAAGGCGGCUUUCUGGGCCUUACCUGACGCUGAGACGCGAAAGCGUGGGGAGCGAACCGG